Molecule: ribosomal RNA, 385 nt
Filed under: uncultured bacterium
Lineage: Bacteria
Description: bacterial SSU rRNA
Rfam family: Bacterial small subunit ribosomal RNA
Source: RNAcentral
GACGAACGCUGGCGGCGUGCUUAACACAUGCAAGUCGAGCGGUAAGGCCCUUUCGGGGGUACACGAGCGGCGAACGGGUGAGUAACACGUGGGUGACCUGCCCUCAGCUCUGGGAUAAGCCUGGGAAACUGGGUCUAAUACUGGAUAUGACUCCACGGUGCAUGUCGUGGGGUGGAAAGCCUUGUGCGGCUGAGGAUGGGCCCGCGGCCUAUCAGCUUGUUGGUGGGGUGAUGGCCUACCAAGGCGACGACGGGUAGCCGGCCUGAGAGGCGGACCGGCCACACUGGGACUGAGACACGGCCCAGACUCCUACGGGAGGCAGCAGUGGGGAAUCUUGCGCAAUGGGCGAAAGCCUGACGCAGCGACGCCGCGUGAGGGAUGACGG